UACGUAGGGUGCGAGCGUUGUCCGGAAUUACUGGGCGUAAAGAGCUCGUAGGUGGUUUGUCACGUCGUCUAUGAAAUUCCGGGGCUUAACCUCGGGCGUGCAGGCGAUACGGGCAAUACUUGAGUGCUGUAGGGGAGACUGGAAUUCCUAGUGUAGCGGUGAAAUGCGUAGAUAUCGGGAGGAACACCGGUGGCGAAGGCGGCUUUCUGGCCAGUUACUGACGCUCAUGCGCGAAAGCUGGGGUAGCGAACCGGAUUAGAUACCCGCGUAGUCCCU
RNAcentral lists this ribosomal RNA (276 nucleotides) under uncultured prokaryote. RNAcentral's name for it is "partial 16S ribosomal RNA". It matches the Rfam family "Bacterial small subunit ribosomal RNA", at positions 524 to 798 of the family's 1533-position model. The record is from RNAcentral.